Molecule: ribosomal RNA, 1396 nt
Filed under: Dares sp. 1 SB-2020
Lineage: Eukaryota; Metazoa; Arthropoda; Insecta; Phasmatodea; Heteropterygidae
Description: SSU rRNA
Rfam family: Eukaryotic small subunit ribosomal RNA
Source: RNAcentral
UUCCCGUUCGUCGGUGUCCAACUGGCACGCCAGUGCGGACGUCCUGCCGGUGGACGCAAUCGGCCGCGGCGUAGGGCCGCCGCACUGCGCCCCCUGCUCCACUUCCGGUGCGCUCAGGGCUCCACCCCCGCGAGGGAGUGCCCCAGGGCCCCGGUGGGGAGGUCGGUCCGGGCACCGCACGCUGUCAGGCUCCCAACCCGCGCGUCGGUGGUCCGGUGCAAUCCCGCCGCGGUGCUCUUCACCGAGUGUCGAGGCGGGCCGGCACGUUUACUUUGAACAAAUUAGAGUGCUCAAAGCAGGCAGUGGUUGGCCUGGAUGCUGUGUGCAUGGAAUAAUGGAAUAGGACCUCGGUUCUAUUUUGUUGGUUUUCGGAACCCCCGAGAUAAUGAUUAAUAGGGACAGACGGGGGCAUUUGUAUUGCGAUGUUAGAGGUGAAAUUCUUGGAUCGUCGCAAGACGGACGAAAGCGAAAGCAUUUGCCAUGAGUGUUUUCGUUAGUCAAGAACGAAAGUCAGAGGUUCGAAGGCGAUCAGAUAUCGCCCUAGUUCUGACCGUAAACUAUGCCAGCCGGCGAUCCGCCGAUGUUCCUCCGAUGACUCGGCGGGCAGCUUCCGGGAAACCAGAGCUUCUGGGUUCCGGGGGAAGUACGGUAGCAAAGCUGAAACUUAAAGGAAUUGACGGAAGGGCACCACCAGGAGUGGAGCCUACGGCUUAAUUUUACUCAACACGGGAAACCUCACCAGGCCCGGACACCGGAAGGAUUGACAGAUUGGGAGCUCUUUCUUGAUUCGGUGGCUGGUGGUGCAUGGCCGUUAUUAGUUGUUGGAGCGAUUUGUCUGGUUAAUUCCGAUAACGAACGAGACUCCGGCCUGCUAACUAGUCGCACUAGCGGCAUCCCUCCGUGCUGCCGGCGACGGAUGCUCUUCUUAGAGGGACAGGCGGCUCCUAGCCGCACGAGAUCGAGCAAUAACAGGUCUGUGAUGCCCUUAGAUGUUCUGGGCCGCACGCGCGCUACACUGAAGGAAUCAGCGUGUCCUCCUGGCCCGAGAGGGCCGGGUAACCCGUUGAAACUCCUUCGUGCUGGGGAUUGGGGCUUGCAAUUGUUCCCCAUGAACGAGGAAUUCCCAGUAAGCGCGAGUCACGAGCUCGCGUUGAUUACGUCCCUGCCCUUUGUACACACCGCCCGUCGCUACUACCGAUUGAAUGAUUUAGUGAGGUCUUCGGACCGGCGCGCGGCGGCCCCACCUUCCUCCGCUUCCGGCGCCCCGCCCGCCCUCGCAGGCGGCUCCGGGGACCCACGCCGGGCGGGGUCGGAGGCCUGCCGAUGCCGCUGGGAAGAUGACCGAACUUGAUCAUUUAGAGGAAGUAAAAGUCGUAACAAGGUUUCCGUAGGUGAA